UUAGAUGUAACAGAGGAGUUCUAUGACCAUAAAAGAGACAAGACUGCAGACCAAGUUAUGCAGUGGACCCUGAGUAUCACACAGUACCUGAAAUCACAGACCAAAGCUGCAAAAAGACCCAAAGUCAUAAAAAGACCUGAAGUUGAAGUCCUGAAGCCUCGAAAUGACCCAAAGUAAGGAAAGGAGUCUAAGCAGGAAUCCCCCACCCAAAAAGGAUGUCUCGUAACCUGGAGAGAGUGGUAACCAAAAAACAAACAGUGCAAAGAAUUCACGCGGAAUUUCACCUGACGAACGGGGAACGCCCUCCGAAACGUUGUUUGAUGCAAUAAACACACCAGGGGUAGGACCCCGGUUUAAAUCGC
Molecule: long non-coding RNA, 362 nt
Organism: Xenopus laevis (African clawed frog)
Lineage: Eukaryota; Metazoa; Chordata; Amphibia; Anura; Pipidae
Exons: 3
Source: RefSeq, a predicted model, not a curated record